Molecule: long non-coding RNA, 3297 nt
Organism: Triticum urartu
Lineage: Eukaryota; Viridiplantae; Streptophyta; Magnoliopsida; Poales; Poaceae
Source: RefSeq, a predicted model, not a curated record
GAUCGAUCUCGGGUGGAAAAGGCUUUCGCCCAAUCCCCGCGCGCGCUCCGCUCCCAAUCCUGGUCGCGGGGUUGCUGCGCCAGAGCCCACACCCGCACCAACCCUAGCCGCCACACCUCUGCUUCCUCCCUCGCUCGACAGCGCCGCACCCCCUCCCUCCUUGCUGCUUGUCCGGAUAGCCGCCGGCCGCCGCAUCCCUUCUCCCCCUUCCUCCUCCUUCCUCCUUCCCGCUGGUGCCAACGAGGGGGCCUCCCACAUGGACGGCCGGGUCUUCGAACCGGGGGUAGAGGAGCAGGGGAGGGCCAAGAAGCCGGCGGUGGGAGUGGAGCAGCCAGGAGGGCCAAGAAGCCCGCGGUGGGUGUGGAGCAGCCAGGAGGGCCAAGAAGCCGACGGUGGGGGUAGAGGAGCAGGGGAGGGCCAAGAAAGCCGGCCGGGAGCACACCACCGUAGGCGUCAAGGGAGCCGUGGACAAGCCGCCAGGAGGAAAAAGCUCCCAGUUUGAGGAGGAGACUACGGCACAGGUGGUGUUUUGAAAUCUAGAUUGAUUUGGUACUGUAUGUGGUGUGGUGUGCCCUUGCCAGGAAUAUCUAAUGUGUGUCAUGACACAAUCAAUUGUAGAGUUGGGAAGCAUGAUGCUCGAUUAGUGGACUGCCGCUUGAGAAGAAGCUUGUCAUAUGUCUCUUCGAGCCGCGGCGGCUAGGGGCCUUGGAAGAACACGAGGUUUGACAUAGCCAUUAAGGAAGUGCAGGAUACAAACCAGAUUAAACAAAGAGGAUAUGGAUUCAGUACGGCCACGAGUGAAGGAAUGCUGUUCCAAUUUGGAUCUUGGAGAAUGUUUUCUCACUGUGGUUCAGGUUAAACUGUUGUUCUACUGUUCCUACUCAGCCUCCUAAUGUUCUAUGUCUUGAUGCGCCUUCUUCCAGCUUCUCUAUUGGUUUUCUCUUCACACUGAUGAAAAUUCCUAGGGAUUUGAUUGAUGGAGGCAUCGCUAUUUGGCGCUGGAUUAUCCAUUUUUGCAGCAACCAGCAAUGCUGUUUUUGUUUGGAAUGGCCAGUUAUCAAUUUCUAAAUCAGCUAUACUAUACUUCUUGUCAGGUUACAUUAUCUUGCUUCGUUUCAGUCUAUAUGUAGCACAAAAAUACUCGGUGACAUGGUUGGUUUGUAUGUUACACUAAUGAACACCACCAUAAGGAAAAGGGCAUUGCACUUCUUUGUUUAUAUUUGGUGUGUUCCUAUUCGGUGACAUACUGUUCUGGUUGGUUAGCUUCACGCUCUAAAGCUAGGAUUUUAAUUCUCUGAGUGUAAGUAAUGUAUUGUUAUACCAGAUGAAAUAUAUGCAGGCACUGCUAACAUGAUUUUGCUUAUAGGCGGAAGUAUAUUUUUUAAAUCCAUCUGUUCAAUUCUAAGGACCAUUCUUUACUAGAAGUCCAGAACUAUGUGAUUUGGUAAUUGUGUCAAAGCUCGCCUAGUUGUGCCGUAUUGCAUUGUGAAUGCUAUGUUGUUGGGGAAUUAGUGAGCUUGGUUAUAUUUCUGUGGCCGUCAUGUUAACUGGUGGCCAUAGUGCUUGCUUGCUAGCUACGAGUUAUUCUUGUGUGUUUGCUUAGUGGCGUAGUUAUGUGUGUGUGCAUGUGUGUGUGUGUGUGUGCGGGCACCUGUUGUGUUUUUUGCUUGCUUGUUGGUGCGUGCAUGAUUGUUGUGACUAGGCGCUGGCUGUUCGGUGCUGGGCUGCUGAUGGCAUGCUACCUGCUUCGAAAAAAGGAAUGAAAGGAAGCAUUUGUUCAUAGAACAAAUAUAUUGUAAAAUUUUCCAUGGAAAGCCUGCAUAUUUAGCAAGGAAAAGGAGUCUAGAGAGCCUUAGGUUCUUGUUAUGUGUUGAUUUUGCAAAAUUUCUGCAGCUAUAUAUUUGCUCAAUCCAAAAGACAAAUUGUACUCAACCUUCAGUAUAAUGUAUUUCUAAUUGUUCAUAACUACUUAAUUUUUUGUUGUGAUUUUGCAAGAUAUUGAAAUUAUUGUAUUUCGAAAUUGUUAUACUGAUUCCUCGAUGCUCUGUUCAUGGCUUUUUUUUCUUAUUUUAUCCUUCUUUGCUUUUUUCCUUUCCUACAAGAAGAUGUCGAGUCAUGUAAUAUGUUCAAAGAAGAGAGAAUCUGCAUUUUAUGAAUCCUUUCUUCUUUCUUCAUUGUUACUUCAAGUUAGUGAAUUCAUUUAAGUUGUAUUGAGCAGCUUCAUGUGAUGGUUUCUUCAUCUACACAUCUUAUUCAGUCACGAGGCCAGUAAGAUCUUUUGCCUUUUAGAAAAAGGGAGAUGCCAUUUAGACCAUACUCUUCCAACUUGAUCUUUAACUUGCUACUACUGUUUCUAAGCAUUUUCCCAAGCAUUUUUUAUUUGCUUCAGAGAAUGAGCUCACCUUAUAAAGUGGAUGUGCCAAGUAAAAAAAAUAGAAACUGAGCAAUUAGUUCCACUCUUAAAUUUUGUACAGCAGUCCAAAUUAUCCAAUAAAUCAUUUGUUAGUAGGGUCAAAUUAUAGAAGUUGAAUCAGCUGUUCCAAAUUACCCAGUGAGACUUAUUCCAUUUGUUUAUCCUUUCGUCCUUUAAAUCAAGAACAAUGUUUAGAUCUUACAUGGUUGUCGAAAUUUAGUUAUGUAAAAGAGGAAUAUUGAUAUCAUGCAAUGAUCAGUGCAGAUUAGGAUAGUUAUAGAGUUCUUCCUCAGUUUUCAUUGAGCAAAGAUUGAAUCUGUAUGAUUUGUUCUAAUACCAAGUAAAUCUUGGUCUGCAUUGUGUUAGUUUUCCUACUGAGUUUUUUUUGGCUAUUUUCAUUUAAAUUGGUAGUUGAUGUGAAAAAGAGUAUUGACAUGCAUGUAACCAAAUCAUGUAUUAAUGUGAGGUACUACAUAUACAUGCAUAUCUCUUUCCAGAAGCACAGCCCUCUUGAUCCAACUAGGAACAUCAAAACCAAAUGGGAUAUCAUUGAGUGGACUUCAGAUGGCCAUGCUGAUAAUCUGACACCUAAUAAGGACCAAGAGAACAACAGAGAUGCUAAGAGGCAACCUUUUGGGUUUAAGGAUAUAAACAACAUGGCUUACGAGGAUUUGAACUGCUGUUCUUUUAGUUCCACUCUUAAAUGUUUUGGUUCUUGAAGGCCUGCACUUUCCUGGUGGAGUAGGAGCAAAAUAAUUCAGAGGCUUUAAAGCUGCUGCACUUUAGCAGUUAGGAUCAAUUCUUUGUUUUGGUUUGAAAUGCUCCUCAAUUCCUCCUAUUUGAUUGUAGACAUGAAAUAUAUUCAGAAAGCGUCAGUUUUGUUC